This 450-nucleotide ribosomal RNA is filed under the name uncultured bacterium. RNAcentral's name for it is "partial 16S ribosomal RNA". It matches the Rfam family "Bacterial small subunit ribosomal RNA", at positions 354 to 796 of the family's 1533-position model. The record is from RNAcentral.
GUGGGGAAUAUUGCACAAUGGGCGCAAGCCUGAUGCAGCCAUGCCGCGUGUAUGAAGAAGGCCUUCGGGUUGUAAAGUACUUUCAGCGGGGAGGAAGGCGAUAAGGUUAAUAACCUUGUCGAUUGACGUUACCCGCAGAAGAAGCACCGGCUAACUCCGUGCCAGCAGCCGCGGUAAUACGGAGGGUGCAAGCGUUAAUCGGAAUUACUGGGCGUAAAGCGCACGCAGGCGGUCUGUCAAGUCGGAUGUGAAAUCCCCGGGCUCAACCUGGGAACUGCAUUCGAAACUGGUAGGCUAGAGUCUUGUAGAGGGGGGUAGAAUUCCAGGUGUAGCGGUGAAAUGCGUAGAGAUCUGGAGGAAUACCGGUGGCGAAGGCGGCCCCCUGGACAAAGACUGACGCUCAGGUGCGAAAGCGUGGGGAGCAAACAGGAUUAGAAACCCGAGUAGUCC